Molecule: long non-coding RNA, 583 nt
Filed under: Gallus gallus (chicken)
Lineage: Eukaryota; Metazoa; Chordata; Aves; Galliformes; Phasianidae
Source: RNAcentral
CUGUUCGUAGCAAACUUAAAUUUGCAAACACAGAAGGUUGGAAGUAUGUGUGUGUGUAUGAGACAGAGUGAGGAUGAGAGCUUAUCAUCACUGGAGUCCUGAGCUCCAUGCUUUCAGGGGAAAAAAAAAUAAAAGCCAUUAUAUUGGACCCUGCAGCAGUUUCAUGGCAAAAUGGGGAUUUCCUGGUGUUGCAGCAAAGGGCAAUGGAAAGAAAGGGGCUCCUUCAGAGGUAUGAUUUAGAGUGUCUAAAGUUAAGCUCCUGCCCUAAAUCACCCCCCAAAACUCCCUAUCAUGGGCGUACCUCUCCAUUGAAGCCCAAUGCAAGUUGUAGAUUGUUGUUUUCUUUUUGAGGCAUUAAUAACAAGGCAUAGUGACGACAUACAACCUCUGUAUAAGCAGUUAAGUGUUUGCAUUUUUAAUUUCCUGUAUUUCUCUUGUAUUUUUCACUGGGUUAUUUGGAGAACUGAUUGAUACAUAUAAAUCUGGAUUGACUCAGCAUGAAAAGCAAAUCAAAUUCUGUAAUAUUUAACUUUCAGAAAGACUGAGCAGCCCCGUGGAUUUUCAAAAAUCAUUAAUAUGCAGG